AUUGAACGCUGGCGGCAUGCCUUACACAUGCAAGUCGAACGGCAGCGGACCUUCGGGUGCCGGCGAGUGGCGAACGGGUGAGUAAUAUAUCGGAACGUACCUUUCAGUGGGGGAUAACGUAGCGAAAGUUACGCUAAUACCGCAUAUUCUGUGAGCAGGAAAGCAGGGGAUCGCAAGACCUUGCGCUGAUUGAGCGGCCGAUAUCAGAUUAGCUAGUUGGUGAGGUAAAGGCUCACCAAGGCGACGAUCUGUAGCGGGUCUGAGAGGAUGAUCCGCCACACUGGAACUGAGACACGGUCCAGACUCCUACGGGAGGCAGCAGUGGGGAAUUUUGGACAAUGGGCGCAAGCCUGAUCCAGCCAUGCCGCGUGAGUGAAGAAGGCCUUCGGUUGUAAGACUCUUUCAGGUGGAAGAAAUAGA
RNAcentral lists this ribosomal RNA (420 nucleotides) under uncultured bacterium. RNAcentral describes it as "bacterial SSU rRNA". It matches the Rfam family "Bacterial small subunit ribosomal RNA", at positions 30 to 453 of the family's 1533-position model. The record is from RNAcentral.